CCUACGGGAGGCAGCAGUGGGGGAUAUUGCACAAUGGGGGAAACCCUGAUGCAGCGACGCCGCGUGGGCGAAGAAGUAUUUCGGUAUGUAAAGCCCUAUCAGCAGGGAAGAAGAAAUGACGGUACCUGAGUAAGAAGCACCGGCUAAAUACGUGCCAGCAGCCGCGGUAAUACGUAUGGUGCAAGCGUUAUCCGGAUUUACUGGGUGUAAAGGGAGCGCAGGCGGCACGGCAAGCCUGAUGUGAAAGCCCGCGGCCCAACCGCGGGACUGCAUUGGGAACUACCGGGCUGGAGUGCCGGAGAGGUAGGCGGAAUUCCUAGUGUAGCGGUGAAAUGCGUAGAUAUCACGCAGAACCCCGAUUGCGAAGGCAGCAUGCCGGCUUCCGACUGACGCUGAAGCACGAAAGCGUGGGGAUCGAACAGGAUUAGAUACCCGUGUAGUC
This 442-nucleotide ribosomal RNA is filed under the name uncultured bacterium. Its description in RNAcentral is "partial 16S ribosomal RNA". It matches the Rfam family "Bacterial small subunit ribosomal RNA", at positions 338 to 795 of the family's 1533-position model. The record is from RNAcentral.